RNAcentral lists this long non-coding RNA (3073 nucleotides) under Gossypium barbadense (sea-island cotton). RNAcentral describes it as "long non-coding RNA (GBAR_LNC004604)". Lineage: Eukaryota; Viridiplantae; Streptophyta; Magnoliopsida; Malvales; Malvaceae. The record is from RNAcentral.
AACACUCUCUCUUUGUAAAAACCUUCCUUUUACUUUUAAUAAAAUAACUAUCUUCCGCACUUUUUAUACUUUGUAAUUGGUAUCAGAGGCCCCUGGAGUAACGAUUCUUGGAGGAAUUCAUAUCAUAAUAUCCAUUGUAAGUUUUUAUCUUUAAUUUACAAUCCAGUUAAUUCUGUGGCUACUUGUCUUAAAACCCAUAUAUCUGUUAUUUUGUUUUACUUUUUCCUUUUUUAAGUCUAAGUGAGAGACGUUAGGCCUUUGUGUGAUAAGACAAAAUAAUAUAACAGACGAUUUUAGGUACCAAAGAUAAAUAACAUGGAAGAAACAGAUUGUUUAUAUAAAGAUAAAACCUGCAAUCAUAUUAUGCAUAUAGACUCUAAACAAGAAAAUAAUAUUUCGGCCCUUAGUAAAGGAUUUAAUAGUUUAAUGGAUAUAACCUCUAUAUAUUAUAAUAAAAUAUAUAAUAAAGUUAGCAAUAUAGAAGAAAAAGUAAAUCAUAUAGGAGAUAUCAAAGAAUUAGAUUUGAACAAUAAAUCUAAAUAAAAUUUAUCAGAAGUUAAUAAUAAAUUAGAACAGAUUAUUAAUAAUAAUAAUAUAGAAUCAUAAAUGGAUUUAGGUCCUUUGUAUUAUGGGAAUAGUAAUAUAAUUUUAACUUUAUUUGAUGAAGAAGAAACUUCUUCAGAAGAGUCAUCUUCUACUAUUAAUAGAAAUAAAAAAUUUGAAAAAUAGAGAAGAAAAAAUAUUACUCAACAAAAUUAUGAUUUUCAAUCUUAUAAAGAAUUAAUAGAACAUUGGAAAGUUAGAUUUACUAAAAGUACAGAUAAAAAUGAAAGAAUAGAAUACAAAUCAAGAUAGUAUAGCCAGUUAUACUUUGUCAAAAAUUAAAUUAUGUGAUAUAAGAUAUUUAGAAGAAUUUUCUAAAAAAAUUCUUCAUGAAUAUCAAAAAAUAAAAAGUGAAAAUAUAGAAUUUUGGAAAAACCAAUACUUUCAUAAAUUACCCCCACCAUGGGAUGAGAUAUGUAUAAAAAAAUAUGUGUCUUAUUUAGAUAAACAUAGCAAAGAAUCAGGCAUAGCAAAAGAAAAUAUAGAUUCUAUAGGAAAUAGAAUUAAUUUUACUAAAGAAAGUGAUAGAUUAAUUUUAGAAACAGAUGCAUCACAAAAUUAUUGGGGAUGUUUUCCUGAAAUGCAUGGAGACAUAUUAUUAGGAAAUAAUUUUAUAUAUCAUCAUUUACCAUUUUCUAUAGAUAAAAAUUUAGUAAUAUUAUCAACAGAAAAAACUUCUGUAGAAAUACUUUUAGUAGAAAAUCAUAAAUUUGUAUGUGAUAAAGGUUUUAGACCAAUAAGAAAAGAACAAAUUAAACAACUAGAAACAAAUCAUUGGUUGUUUAAAAUUCUAGAAAAUAAUUUUAGUGAAGAACCAUUAAAAUUAUGGGAAAAUAGUCCAAGAUAUUGUGAAAUAAAAUUAAAAAAUCCUAAUAAAAUUAUUAGAAUUAAACCUAUGAUCUAUAUUAAACAAGAUAUAGAUGAAUUUGAUAUACAAAUCAAAGAAUUAUUAGAAAAAGGAUUAAUAGAAAAAACUAAUAGUCCACACUCAAGUCCAGCCUUUAUGGUAAGAAACCAUGCUGAGAUAAAAAGAGGAAAAGCUAGAAUGGUAAUCAAUUAUAAAAGAUUAAACCAAAAUACUAUUUUUGAUGGAUACUUUAUUCCAUGAAAAGAUGUUUUGAUUAAUCAAGCUAAACAAGCAAAAUACUUUAGUAAGUUUGAUUGUAAAUCAGGAUUUUGGCAAAUAAUGCUAACUGAUGAAUCUAAACCAUUAACAGCCUUUAGUGCACCUAAUGCUCAUUAUCAAUGGAGAGUAAUGCCAUUUGGGUUAUGUAAUGCACCUCAAAUCUUCCAAAGAUAGAUGGAUUCUAUAUUUAAUAAAUACAAAAAAUUUUGUGUAGUUUAUAUAGAUGAUAUUUUAAUAUUUUCAGAAACUCUAGAAAAAACAUAGAAAACAUUUAAAUAUUAUCUCUCAAGAAUUCAUAAAACAUGGAAUUAUUUUGAGUCCUAAGAAAAUAGAAUUAGAAAAAACAGAAAUAGAAUUUUUAGGAUUAAAUUUAUCUACUGAUGGUCUUAAACUACAAGAUCAUAUUAUAGUAAAAAUAAAAUAAUUUCCUGAAGAAAUUAAAGAUAAAAAACAACUUCAACAAUUUUUAGGAAUAGUUAAUUAUGGAAGAAACUUCUUCCCUAGCUUAUCUCAAAAAAUAGGUGACUUAUAUGAAAAAUUAAAAAAGGAUAAAACUUUUAAUUGGUCUAAAAAAGACUCGGAAAUUAUUAAAAAUGUAAAAUCAGAAAUAAAUUAUACCCCAAAGGUCUAUUUAUCAAAACAAGGUGAUAGAUUAAUUUUAGAAACAGAUGCAUCACAAAAUUAUUGGGGAUGUAUUUUAAAGGCUAAAACUGCAAAAAAUGAAGAACUAAUAUGUGGAUAUAGAUCUGGAAUGAUGAUAUAUGAAAUUAUUUCCUAAUAAUAUGUCUCCAUGCAUUUCAGGAAAACACAAUAUUUUAGGAAUUACAAAUCUUACAUUAUUUAUGUAAAUCGGUAUAUUUCUAGCCUUAAAUUGGAUUAUGGUUUCUUUACCAUCUAUUCCUAUGGCUCUAAUUGGAUUUUUUAUUAAUUCCCAUUUUUCUACAGGAAUGGCAUUUUCUCUACAGCUACUUGUGGUAGCUCCUGUAUCUAAUAGAGCAUGCAAAGAAUAUGUUUUAUAUUCUCUAAAUUGAAAUGUAAUUUCAAUAUAUGUAUAAUAUUUCCUAGGUUGGAAAUUUGAAAAUGUAAUAAUAUCAUUUUUUUCCCAUUUUCAUUUGUUGAAUAAUAGUAGUAGCUUGUAUUUCGUCCAUUCUAGUAUUUCUAGAAUUUCUAUUGGGUUCAGUGGGGAAAAUAGGUAUUUGAACUGUUUUCAUACCUAUUGGUGUUGUUGAAUUUGUACUAAUAUUAUCUUCUUCUUCUUCUAUUGGAGAAUUAGAAGGUAAAACUAAAUUAUCAUUUGUAUUUGUUAUAGCAUUAUUUUUAAAAUAUAGUCUAUCUCGAGAUGAC